AUUGAACGCUGGCGGCAUGCUUUACACAUGCAAGUCGAACGGCAGCGCGGGCUUCGGCCUGGCGGCGAGUGGCGAACGGGUGAGUAAUGCAUCGGAACGUGCCCAGUAGUGGGGGGAUAGCCCAGCGAAAGCCGGAUUAAUACCGCAUACGACCUGAGGGUGAAAGCGGGGGACCGAAAGGCCUCGCGCUAUUGGAGCGGCCGAUGUCGGAUUAGCUAGUUGGUGGGGUAAAGGCUUACCAAGGCGACGAUCCGUAGCUGGUCUGAGAGGACGACCAGCCACACUGGGACUGAGACACGGCCCAGACUCCUACGGGAGGCAGCAGUGGGGAAUUUUGGACAAUGGGGGCAACCCUGAUCCAGCCAUGCCGCGUGCGGGAAGAAGGCCUUCGGGUUGUAAACCGCUUUUGUUCGGGAAGAAAUCCUCUGGGCUAAUACCCCGGGGGGAUGACGGUACCGGAAGAAUAAGCACCGGCUAACUACGUG
RNAcentral lists this ribosomal RNA (485 nucleotides) under uncultured bacterium. RNAcentral describes it as "partial 16S ribosomal RNA". It matches the Rfam family "Bacterial small subunit ribosomal RNA", at positions 29 to 507 of the family's 1533-position model. The record is from RNAcentral.